AAUGAACGCUGGCGGCGUGCUUAACACAUGCAAGUCGAACGAGAAAGCUUUAGCUUGCUAGAGCGAGUAAAGUGGCGCACGGGUGAGUAACGCGUGGGUAAUCUGCCCUUGAAUUUGGGAUAACACUUCGAAAGGGGUGCUAAUACCGGAUAACAUCUUUUCUAUUGCGGUAGAAGAGAUCAAAGAUAGCCUCUUCUUGAAAGCUAUUGUUUGAGGAUGAGCCCGCGUACCAUUAGCUUGUUGGUGGGGUAAUGGCCUACCAAGGCGACGAUGGUUAGCUGGUCUGAGAGGAUGAUCAGCCACACUGGAACUGGAACACGGUCCAG
This 326-nucleotide ribosomal RNA is filed under the name uncultured bacterium. RNAcentral describes it as "bacterial SSU rRNA". It matches the Rfam family "Bacterial small subunit ribosomal RNA", at positions 29 to 334 of the family's 1533-position model. The record is from RNAcentral.